RNAcentral lists this ribosomal RNA (202 nucleotides) under Psathyropus tenuipes. Lineage: Eukaryota; Metazoa; Arthropoda; Arachnida; Opiliones; Sclerosomatidae. The record is from RNAcentral.
GCGAGGGAGACCACCUGGGAACACCGCGUGCCGUUGGCUUGGCAACGGCCAUAUCACGCUGAAUACACCGGUUCUCGUCCGAUCACCGAAGUUAAGCAGCGUCGAGCGCGGUCAGUACUUGGGAGGGAGACCAUCUGGGAACACCGCGUGCCGUUGGCUUGGCAACGGCCAUAUCACGCUGAAUACACCGGUUCUCGUCCGA